Molecule: ribosomal RNA, 640 nt
Filed under: uncultured marine eukaryote
Lineage: Eukaryota
Description: SSU rRNA
Rfam family: Eukaryotic small subunit ribosomal RNA
Source: RNAcentral
UGGUUAAAAAGCUCGUAGUUGGAUCUCGGCGGACUGAGGGCGGUUUGCUUGCUAGUAUUACUGCCCUAUAGUCCGUAGUUUUGCCAGAGGUUUCGGGGUGCUCUUAAUCGAGUGUCCCGGGAUGCUGGCAGGUUUACUUUGAAAAAUUAGAGUGCUCAAAGCAGGCUAUUACGCCUGAAUAUUCGUGCAUGGAAUAAUAGAAUAGGAAGUCGUUUCUAUUUUGUUGGUUUUCGGAAAUCGACUUAAUGAUUAAUAGGGACAGUCGGGGGCAUUUGUAUUCAAACGACAGAGGUGAAAUUCUUGGACCGUUUGGAGACAAACUACUGCGAAAGCAUUUGCCAAGAAUGUUUUCAUUAAUCAAGAACGAAAGUUAAAGGUUCGAAGGCGAUUAGAUACCGCCCUAGUUUUAACCAUAAACGAUGCCAGCUAGCGAUCUGCGGACGUUUUUUUUGUAGACUCCGCAGGAAGCUUCCGGGAAACCAAAGCAUUUGGGUUCCAGGGGAAGUAUGGUUGCAAAGCUGAAACUUAAAGGAAUUGACGGAAGGGCACCACCAGGAGUGGAGCCUGUGGCUUAAUUUGACUCAACACGGGAAAUCUCACCAGGCCCGGACACUGGAAGGAUUGACAGAUUGAUAGCUCU